Molecule: ribosomal RNA, 439 nt
Filed under: uncultured bacterium
Lineage: Bacteria
Description: partial 16S ribosomal RNA
Rfam family: Bacterial small subunit ribosomal RNA
Source: RNAcentral
CUACGGGUGGCUGCAGUGAGGAAUAUUGCACAAUGGGGGGAACCCUGAUGCAGCAACGCCGCGUGGAGGAUGACGCAUGUCGGCGUGUAAACUCCUUUUAUAUGUCAAGAAAAUGACGGUAGCAUAUGAAUAAGCACCGGCUAACUCCGUGCCAGCAGCCGCGGUAAUACGGAGGGUGCAAGCGUUACUCGGAAUCACUGGGCGUAAAGGACGCGUAGGCGGGUUGGAAAGUCAGGUGUGAAAUCCUACAGCUUAACUGUAGAACUGCACUUGAAACUUCUAAUCUAGAGUAUGGGAGGGGGAGAUGGAUUUAGUGGUGUAGGGGUAAAAUCCGUAGAUAUCACUAGGAAUACCUAAAGCGAAGGCGAUCUCCUGGAACAUUACUGACGCUAAGGCGUGAAAGCGUGGGGAGCAAACAGGAUUAGAUACCCGCGUAGUC